RNAcentral lists this long non-coding RNA (275 nucleotides) under Medicago truncatula (barrel medic). RNAcentral describes it as "long non-coding RNA (MTRU_LNC005212)". The record is from RNAcentral. Lineage: Eukaryota; Viridiplantae; Streptophyta; Magnoliopsida; Fabales; Fabaceae.
CCCGGAUGAACAUCAGAAUGUUGCUGUGUUCUUCAUCAGAAUGUUUGAUAUUCAUGAUGUUCUUCAUCUGGGUUCAUCAAGGAUGAAUGUCAGAUGAGUUUCUGGGUCCAUUCCAUACGUGACAUGAGAUAUGUUCAAGUUUUAUCCUUCAAAAGUUACUUCUCCAUAUGCAUCAAAAGUUGCUUGAAAAAGUAGGAUAAAGUUGAAACAAAUCUGUCUUGGAUUUGGUGCAGGAGAGAGAGGAUAGUGGAUCUGCAAUCUUCAGGCCCAUGCUU